AUACCGCAUAAGACCACGAUUUCUCUAGCGAUCGAGGUCAAAGGUAGCCUCAUCAGUCAAAGUGUUUACGUGGUUAUUUCCUUUGGAAAUAUGGACGUGAAUGCUUUACCGAGAGAAGCUGUCGCUGAAGGAGGGGCUCGCGUCCCAUCAGCUAGUUGGUAGGGUAAUGGCCUACCAAGGCUACGACGGGUAGCUGGUCUAAGAGGACGGCCAGCCACACGGGAAUUGAGAUACGGUCCCGACUCCUACGGGAGGCAGCAGUAGGGAAUAUUGGGCAAUGGACGCAAGUCUGACCCAGCCAUGCCGCGUGCAGGAAGAAGGCCUUCUGGG
This 330-nucleotide ribosomal RNA is filed under the name uncultured bacterium. RNAcentral describes it as "bacterial SSU rRNA". It matches the Rfam family "Bacterial small subunit ribosomal RNA", at positions 166 to 423 of the family's 1533-position model. The record is from RNAcentral.